GGGCGAAUGGUUUAGUGGUAUAACGCAUCUUUAGCAUAGAUGAGGUCCCGGUUUCGAUUACCGGUUUGUCCA
This is a transfer RNA of Talaromyces stipitatus ATCC 10500, 72 nucleotides long. It matches the Rfam family "tRNA". Rfam says of the family: Transfer RNA (tRNA) molecules are approximately 80 nucleotides in length. Their secondary structure includes four short double-helical elements and three loops (D, anti-codon, and T loops). NCBI's taxonomy places the organism in Eukaryota, Fungi, Ascomycota, Eurotiomycetes, Eurotiales, Trichocomaceae. The record is from Rfam.